CCGACGGUGAGGGGUGAAAGCUGGGGGCACGAACCGGAUUAGAUACCCGGGUAGUCCCAGCCGUAAACGAUGCUCGCUAGGUGUCAGGCAUGGCGCGAUCGUGUCUGGUGCCGCAGGGAAGCCGUGAAGCGAGCCACCUGGGAAGUACGGCCGCAAGGCUGAAACUUAAAGGAAUUGGCGGGGGAGCACAACAACGGGUGGAGCCUGCGGUUUAAUUGGACUCAACGCCGGACAACUCACCGGGGGCGACAGCAAUAUGUAGGCCAAGCUGAAGACUUUGCCUGAAUCGCUGAGAGGAGGUGCAUGGCCGUCGCCAGUUCGUACUG
RNAcentral lists this ribosomal RNA (326 nucleotides) under uncultured archaeon. RNAcentral's name for it is "bacterial SSU rRNA". It matches the Rfam family "Archaeal small subunit ribosomal RNA", at positions 691 to 1016 of the family's 1478-position model. The record is from RNAcentral.